This 497-nucleotide ribosomal RNA is filed under the name uncultured bacterium. RNAcentral's name for it is "partial 16S ribosomal RNA". It matches the Rfam family "Bacterial small subunit ribosomal RNA", at positions 28 to 507 of the family's 1533-position model. The record is from RNAcentral.
GAUGAACGCUGGCGGCGUGCCUAAUACAUGCAAGUCGAGCGAACGGACGAGAAGCUUGCUUCUCUGAUGUUAGCGGCGGACGGGUGAGUAACACGUGGAUAACCUACCUAUAAGACUGGGAUAACUUCGGGAAACCGGAGCUAAUACCGGAUAAUAUUUUGAACCGCAUGGUUCAAAAGUGAAAGACGGUCUUGCUGUCACUUAUAGAUGGAUCCGCGCUGCAUUAGCUAGUUGGUAAGGUAACGGCUUACCAAGGCAACGAUGCAUAGCCGACCUGAGAGGGUGAUCGGCCACACUGGAACUGAGACACGGUCCAGACUCCUACGGGAGGCAGCAGUAGGGAAUCUUCCGCAAAGGGCGAAAGCCUGACGGAGCAACGCCGCGUGAGUGAUGAAGGUCUUCGGAUCGUAAAACUCUGUUAUUAGGGAAGAACAUAUGUGUAAGUAACUGUGCACAUCUUGACGGUACCUAAUCAGAGAGCCACGGCUAACUACGUG